AGCUUUGGAGAAUCUCAUUAAAUUGAGUACCGAAGGUGCAAGGCACACUAGCAGUGCUGAAUCUCUCAGGUAAAAAGACAAGG
Molecule: non-coding RNA, 83 nt
Filed under: pig gut metagenome
Description: Glycine riboswitch
Rfam family: Glycine riboswitch aptamer
About the family: This family represents the bacterial glycine riboswitch. Glycine riboswitches usually consist of two metabolite-binding aptamers domains with similar structures in tandem. The aptamers cooperatively bind glycine to regulate the expression of downstream genes.
Source: RNAcentral